GGGGUAGAAUUUCCAGGUGUAGCGGUGAAAUGCGUAGAGAUCUGGAGGAAUACCGGUGGCGAAGGCGGCCCCCUGGACGAAGACUGACGCUCAGGUGCGAAGCGUGGGGAGCAAACAGGAUUAGAUACCCUGGUAGUCCACGCUGUAAACGAUGUCGAUUGGGAGGUUGUGCCCUUGAGGCGUGGCUUCCGGAGCUAACGCGUUAAAUCGACCGCCUGGGGAGUACGGCCGCAAGGUUAAAACUCAAAUGAAUUGACGGGGGCCCGCACAAGCGGUGGAGCAUGUGGUUUAAUUCGAUGCAACGCGAAGAACCUUACCUACUCUUGACAUCCAGAGAACUUUCCAGAGAUGGAUUGGUGCCUUCGGGAACUCUGAGACAGGUGCUGCAUGGCUGUCGUCAGCUCGUGUUGUGAAAUGUUGGGUUAGUCCCGCAACGAGCGCAACCCUUAUCCU
Molecule: ribosomal RNA, 453 nt
Filed under: Serratia nematodiphila DZ0503SBS1
Lineage: Bacteria; Pseudomonadati; Pseudomonadota; Gammaproteobacteria; Enterobacterales; Yersiniaceae
Description: bacterial SSU rRNA
Rfam family: Bacterial small subunit ribosomal RNA
Source: RNAcentral